UAGGGAAUCUUCCGCAAUGGACGAAAGUCUGACGGAGCAACGCCGCGUGAGUGAAGAAGGAUUUCGGUUCGUAAAACUCUGUUGUUAGGGAAGAAAAAAUGUAUAGUAACUAUAUACAAAAGAGACGGUACCUAACCAGAAAGCCACGGCUAACUACGUGCCAGCAGCCGCGGUAAUACGUAGGUGGCAAGCGUUGUCCGGAAUUAUUGGGCGUAAAGCGCGCGCAGGUGGUUUAGAAAGUCUGAUGUGAAAGCCCACGGCUCAACCGUGGAGGGUCAUUGGAAACUAAUAAACUUGAGUGCAGGAGAGAAAAGUGGAAUUCCUAGUGUAGCGGUGAAAUGCGCAGAUAUUAGGAGGAAUACCGGUGGCGAAGGCGACUUUCUGGACUUUUACUGACGCUCAGGUACGAAAGCGUGGGGAGCAAACAGG
Molecule: ribosomal RNA, 429 nt
Filed under: Verrucomicrobiota bacterium
Lineage: Bacteria; Pseudomonadati; Verrucomicrobiota
Description: Verrucomicrobia bacterium partial 16S ribosomal RNA
Rfam family: Bacterial small subunit ribosomal RNA
Source: RNAcentral